RNAcentral lists this ribosomal RNA (320 nucleotides) under uncultured eukaryote. Its description in RNAcentral is "partial 18S ribosomal RNA". It matches the Rfam family "Eukaryotic small subunit ribosomal RNA", at positions 1470 to 1796 of the family's 1831-position model. The record is from RNAcentral.
CCCCUAGAUGUUCUGGGCCGCACGCGCGCUACACUGAACAGUUCAACAAGUCUUAACCUUGGCCGAUAGGUCUGGGUAAUCUUUGAACGCUGUUCGUGAUUGGGAUAGACCUUUGCAAUUAUGGGUCUUCAACGAGGAAUUCCUAGUAAACGCAAGUCAUCAGCUUGCAUUUAUUACGUCCCUGCCCUUUGUACACACCGCCCGUCGCACCUACCGAUUGAAUGGUCCGGUGAAAUCUCGGGACGGCGGCUUGGUCGCUUGCGUCCGACUGCUGAAACUUGAUUAAACCAUAUCAUUUAGAGGAAGGUGAANUCGUANCA